GUGCUCGCCUCGGCAGCACAUAUACUAAAAUUGGAACCAUACAGAGAAGAUUAGCAUGGCCCUUGUGCAAGGAUGAUACAGAAAUUCGUGAAACAUUCCAUAUUUUU
Molecule: small nuclear RNA, 107 nt
Organism: Marmota flaviventris (yellow-bellied marmot)
Lineage: Eukaryota; Metazoa; Chordata; Mammalia; Rodentia; Sciuridae
Source: RefSeq, a predicted model, not a curated record